RNAcentral lists this long non-coding RNA (1059 nucleotides) under Mytilus galloprovincialis (Mediterranean mussel). Lineage: Eukaryota; Metazoa; Mollusca; Bivalvia; Mytilida; Mytilidae. The record is from RNAcentral.
CUAACUUUAGAUAAAGUGAAUGGAAAUCUAUGAAAUUUUAACACAAGGUUUAUGACCACAAAAGGAAGGUUGGUAUUGAUUUUGGGAGUUUUGGUCCCAACAUUUUAGGAAUUAGGGGCCAAAAAGGGCCCAAAUAAGCAUUUUCUUGGUUUUCGCACUAUAACUUAAGUUUAAGUUAAUAGAAAUCUAUGAAAUUUUGACACAAGGUUUAUGACCACAAAAGAACGGUUGGGAUUGAUUUUGGGAGUUUUGGUUUCAAACAGUUUAGGAAUUAGGGGCCAAAAAAGGGCCCAAAGAAGCAUUAUUCUUGGUUUUCGCACAAUAACUUUAGUUUAAGUAAAUAGAAAUCAAUGAAAUUUAAACACAAUGUUAAUGACUACAAAAGGAAGGUUGGUAUUGAUUUUGGGAGUUUAGGUCCCAACAGUUUAGGAAUUAGGGGCCAAAAAGGGGACCCAAAUAAGCAUUUUUCUUGGUUUUCGCACCAUAACGUUAGUAUAAGUAAAUAGAAAUCUAUGAAAUUUAAAUACAAGGGUUAUGACCAUAAAAUGAAGGUUGGUAUUGAUUUUGGGAGUUUUGGUCCCAACAGAAUAAGGGGCCCAAAGGGUCCAAAAUUAAACUUUAUUUGAUUUCAUCAAAAUUGAAUAAUUGGGGUUCUUUGAUAUGCCGAAUCUAACUGUCAUUCUUGUGUAUGUAGAUUCUUAACUUUUGGUCCCGUUUUCAAAUUGGUCUACAUUAAGGUCCAAAGGGUCCAAAAUUAAACUUAGUUUGAUUUUGACAAAAAAUGAAUCAGUUAGGUUCUUUGAUAUGCUGAAUCUAAAAAUGUACUUAGAUUCUUGAUUAUUGGCCCAGUUUUCAAGUUGGUCCAAAUCGGGGUCCAAAAUUAAACUUUGUUUGAUUUCAUCAAAAAUUGAAUAAAUGGGGUUCUUUGAUAUACCAAAUCUAACUGUGUAUGUAGAUUCUUAAUUUUUGGUCCUGUUUUCAAAUUGGUCUACACUAAAGUCCAAAGGGUCCAAAAUUAAACUUAGUCUGAUUUUAACAAAAAUUGAAAUCUUGGGGUUC